GGUGGCUGGUGGUUGGCAACGUAUGGAUGGAAACUUAUGCUUGAAAACGGCAUCACGCCAGCACUGGGUGUGUUGGGAGCAUGCAACGAACGGGUAGGACAAUGGUUGUGAGUUUCUGUGCCAGUGGGUUAAUGUUUGAUAUGUGUUCUUUCCUUCGAGGCGCACUCUGUGUUGGAGUCGACGAAUAAUGGUGAAAGUUGCAGUUGUGUUUCGAUCGGGUUGUUUUCGAAUAUUGAUCUACUGGAUUGAGACGGAGGGUUAAAGCAAAACUUAUAGAAUGGGGAGAGAAUAAAAAAAUGCCGUUCUGAAAACGAAGGCAUCACCCAUUCGAUUGAAUCAGGUUUUGAAGCAGUAACAGAGUGGAAAGGAAUCCGGAUACGACUCCAGUGACCGUGCUCAGACCUACCCAUGCAAACACUUCCGGACACCGUAUCGUGUUCCGAAAACCAGCCGUACGAAGGCAAAAAUUCCAAAACGGAAAUGUCCUAAUAGGGCUCUCAUUGCUUUUCACUCGGUCUUCGAACGGAAAGGUACCAUUUCUUCUCCGAACCAGAAUCGCUCCAAUUAUUGCUUAAAGCUCUAUCGAUAUCGCUCUAUCGAGCUAGAAACUGUAGUACUUUAAGAAGAAAUAGAACUUUUCCUUCAAUGAUUCCUCCUUUUCGAUGGAGGUAUUUUAA
This is a long non-coding RNA of Anopheles stephensi (Asian malaria mosquito), 677 nucleotides long. RefSeq lists it as uncharacterized. Lineage: Eukaryota; Metazoa; Arthropoda; Insecta; Diptera; Culicidae. The record is from RefSeq and is a predicted model, not a curated record. The transcript is spliced from 2 exons.